This 73-nucleotide transfer RNA is filed under the name Alligator sinensis (Chinese alligator). It matches the Rfam family "tRNA". From Rfam's summary of the family: Transfer RNA (tRNA) molecules are approximately 80 nucleotides in length. Their secondary structure includes four short double-helical elements and three loops (D, anti-codon, and T loops). The record is from Rfam by way of RNAcentral. Lineage: Eukaryota; Metazoa; Chordata; Crocodylia; Alligatoridae.
GCCCCAGUGGCCUAAUGGAUAAGGCACUGGCCUCCUAAGCCAGUGGUUGUCAGUUCAAGUCCCAUCUGGGGUG